RNAcentral lists this ribosomal RNA (458 nucleotides) under Theileria annulata. RNAcentral describes it as "SSU rRNA". It matches the Rfam family "Eukaryotic small subunit ribosomal RNA", at positions 486 to 984 of the family's 1831-position model. The record is from RNAcentral. Lineage: Eukaryota; Apicomplexa; Aconoidasida; Piroplasmida; Theileriidae.
CGGGGCUUAAAGUCUUGUAAUUGGAAUGAUGGGAAUUUAAACCUCUUCCAGAGUAUCAAUUGGAGGGCAAGUCUGGUGCCAGCAGCCGCGGUAAUUCCAGCUCCAAUAGCGUAUAUUAAAAUUGUUGCAGUUAAAAAGCUCGUAGUUGAAUUUCUGCUGCAUUGCUUGUGUCCCUCUGGGGUCUGUGCAUGUGGCUUUUUUCGGACGGAGUUUCUUUGUCUGAAUGUUUACUUUGAGAAAAUUAGAGUGCUCAAAGCAGGCUUUCGCCUUGAAUAGUUUAGCAUGGAAUAAUAAAGUAGGACUUUGGUUCUAUUUUGUUGGUUCUAGGUACCAAAGUAAUGGUUAAUAGGAACAGUUGGGGGCAUUCGUAUUUAACUGUCAGAGGUGAAAUUCUUAGAUUUGUUAAAGACGAACUACUGCGAAAGCAUUUGCCAAGGAUGUUUUCAUUAAUCAAGAAC